CAGUAGCCGCGGUAACACGUAGGGCGCAAGCGUUGUCCGGAAUUAUUGGGCGUAAAGAGCUCGUAGUCGGUCUGUCGCGUCUGGUGUGAAAUCCCGAGGCUCAACCUCGGGCUUGCAUCGGGUACGGGCAGACUAGAGUGCGGUAGGGGAGACUGGAAUUCCUGGUGUAGCGGUGGAAUGCGCAGAUAUCAGGAGGAACACCGAUGGCGAAGGCAGGUCUCUGGGCCGCAACUGACGCUGAGGAGCGAAAGCAUGGGGAGCGAACAGGAUUAGAUACCCCGGUAGUCCCUGUCUCUUAUAC
Molecule: ribosomal RNA, 301 nt
Filed under: uncultured bacterium
Lineage: Bacteria
Description: partial 16S ribosomal RNA
Rfam family: Bacterial small subunit ribosomal RNA
Source: RNAcentral